RNAcentral lists this ribosomal RNA (236 nucleotides) under uncultured bacterium. RNAcentral describes it as "partial 16S ribosomal RNA". It matches the Rfam family "Bacterial small subunit ribosomal RNA", at positions 118 to 349 of the family's 1533-position model. The record is from RNAcentral.
UGAGUAACCUGCCCUUCACUCUGGGAUAACUCCGGGAAACCGGGGCUAAUACUGGAUAUGACUCGAACAGGCAUCUGUUUCGGGUGGAAAGAUUUAUUGGUGGAGGAUGGACUCGCGGCCUAUCAGCUUGUUGGUGAGGUAAUGGCUCACCAAGGCGACGACGGGUAGCCGGCCUGAGAGGGCGAUCGGCCACACUGGGACUGAGACACGGCCCAGACCUCCGUACGGGGAGGCCA